AUUGAACGCUGGCGGCAUGCCUUACACAUGCAAGUCGAACGGCAGCGGGGACUUCGGUCCGCCGGCGAGUGGCGAACGGGUGAGUAAAGCAUCGGAACGUACCCUUCAGUGGGGGAUAACUAUCCGAAAGGAUAGCUAAUACCGCAUAUUCUCUGAGGAGGAAAGCGUGGGACCUUAUGGCCUCGCGCUGAUGGAGCGGCCGGUGUCAGAUUAGCUAGUUGGUGAGGUAAAGGCUCACCAAGGCGACGAUCUGUAGCGGGUCUGAGAGGAUGAUCCGCAACACUGGGACUGAGACACGGCCCAGACUCCUACGGGAGGCAGCAGUGGGGAAUUUUGGACAAUGGGGGCAACCCUGAUCCAGCCAUGCCGCGUGAGUGAAGAAGGCCUUCGGGUUGUAAAGCUCUUUCGGCCGGGAAGAAAUCGCGCAGGCUAAUACUCUGUGUGGAUGACGGUACCGGAAUAAGAAGCACCGGCUAACUACGUGCCAGCCGCCGCGGUAA
Molecule: ribosomal RNA, 500 nt
Filed under: uncultured bacterium
Lineage: Bacteria
Description: partial 16S ribosomal RNA
Rfam family: Bacterial small subunit ribosomal RNA
Source: RNAcentral